GNUGACGCUGGCGGCAGGCCUACACACGCAAGUNUNAACGGAAACGACACUCAUCUGAAAUCCUUCGGGAUGCAUUUGNUUGGGCGUCGAGCGGCGGACGGGUGAGUAAUGCCUAGGAAAUUGCCUUGAUGUGGGGGAUAACCAUUGGAAACGAUGGCUAAUACCGCAUAAUGCCUACGGGCCAAAGAGGGGGAUCUUCGGACCUCUCGCGUCAAGAUAUGCCUAGGUGGGAUUAGCUAGUUGGUGAGGUAAUGGCUCACCAAGGCGACGAUCCCUAGCUGGUCUGAGAGGAUGAUCAGCCACACUGGAACUGAGACACGGUCCAGACUCCUACGGGAGGCAGCAGUGGGGAAUAUUGCACAAUGGGCGAAAGCCUGAUGCAGCCAUGCCGCGUGUAUGAAGAAGGCCUUCGGGUUGUAAAGUACUUUCAGUUGUGAGGAAGGGGGUAACGUUAAUAGCGUUAUCUCUUGACGUUAGCAACAAGAAGAAGCACCCGGCUAACUCCGUGCCAGCAAGCCGCGGUAAUACGGAGGGUGCCGGAGCGUUAAAUCGGAAAUUACUGGGCGUAAANGCCGCAUGCCAGGUGGUCCAUUUAAGUCAGAUGUUGAAAGGCCCGGGGCUCCACCUUCGGGAU
Molecule: ribosomal RNA, 634 nt
Filed under: Vibrio sp. UST050418-849
Lineage: Bacteria; Pseudomonadati; Pseudomonadota; Gammaproteobacteria; Vibrionales; Vibrionaceae
Description: bacterial SSU rRNA
Rfam family: Bacterial small subunit ribosomal RNA
Source: RNAcentral